RNAcentral lists this long non-coding RNA (3251 nucleotides) under Mytilus galloprovincialis (Mediterranean mussel). The record is from RNAcentral. Lineage: Eukaryota; Metazoa; Mollusca; Bivalvia; Mytilida; Mytilidae.
UAUGUUGUGUAUUAAUGGCUUUUCCAUAACAGAGAAUAAUUUAUAGCACCAGGUUGACCAAAAGUAUAAUUUAUUUUACAAGACAUUUAAAAUGUAACACUUAUUAAAAAAUUGUUUCAAAAGAAGAAAAAAAACACUUCAGCAAUACAUGUAGUUCACUAUAUGCUAUGUUCAUCAUUUUUUUGUUUGUUAUUUAGUUGGUUAUUUGUAAGCAAUAGGCAUUAUUCAAUAAGAAUUACCUAAUGAUUUAUUAUGGACAGUGGAAAUGGGAUGUACAAACAGCCUACAAGCCCUGAUUCUUACAAAGUGAUAUACAGAAUAAUUGUUUAUACAGAAGGUUGUAACACAUUUAUAAGUUUUGCCUGAGAAGCAAAAGUUGUUUAAUUUACAUUCAAAUGAUAGAUUUAAUUGAUUAAAAAAAAUAUAUAAUAUUUGAAGAGAAAGCCAUUUUCUUAUCACUGUCUCUGGUAAAUAACCUAUAGAAAAAAUUCUACAUAGAAGCGUAUAAGUUAUGAAUAGUGAAAAUUCAGAAAUUAUUUUGUGCUUUUAUUAUUGUAAUUUUUAAAGAAUUGUGAGAUGAAUGCGACUUAAAUUAUUGCGAUUUUGAAAAAAUCUGAAAACAGGUAUUUGUUUUAUUGACCAUAAAGGGAGUUCUUAUUAUCGAGACCAACCAGCUGCAUUAUUCCCUUUUAAUAAUAAAAACCUCACAAUAAUCUACAAAAUUGAAAUGAAUUUACAAUAAAUGAACAAUAGUUGUCUUUUCUUGGUGUGUGGUGUUCAAGGUUGUAGUUUUAAAAAACUUUAACAUUUUGUAAGUGAAUGUAGUUCAUGGCUGUGCCAUACUAAAUAAUUUAGUGAUAUAGUAGAUUUUCGUGGUAUUUUGAAUUCUACAUUUUUACAUUAUAAUUUUAACCAUUGUGUUGUAAUUGUAUUAAGGGGAAUGACACUCAUUUGGGGAAGAAGGGGAGUGAAAAAAAACAGGGGAUGUGUGAUAAAGGGGAUUAAAACGUGAGAAUGUUGGAUACUGAGGGUUGGGGAACAAUUUGAAGCUGGGAAAAAAGGGGGAAAAGUGGGAAGUAUAAAAAAACAGACAAAAAAUUGGGAUUUUGGAAAUGAGCACCUUUUGUGUCAUCCCCCUCUUGUAUUACAUUUUUGUGAUAAUAUGGAUAUUGUCUCAAUGCUUAAUUAUUAUUUUAUAACUAACAUUUCACCAAUGAUUAGAAAACAUGUAAGGGGUCAUCCGUAAUUGUCAACCAUUUUCCAAAGUGUACAAAACGUACACUUUUUCAGAAUCAAAAAGUGUACAUCAACCAUAUUCAGAUUUCAAGACAAGAAGCAAUCAUUUUUAUUAAAAAAAAUAUCCUGUCUAUCAUAGUUUAGUUUAAUAUAGAAAUUUGCAUUGAAAAAAACUGAAACAUUUCUGACUGUUUUAUACAGUGAUAAAAAAAAAGUGUACGGUAAAAAUGUUGAUUUUUUAACCCCCUCCCCCAAGUGUACGUUUUGUACACUUCGGAAAAUGGUUGACAAUUAUGGAUGACCCCUAACUACACAUGUUAAACAUUGUAAAUUGACCAUCAUUCAUAUAUAUGUGUACAGAAUCACAUGAAAGAAUUGGAAUAUCAGAUAUCUGUGUUAGCCUUAAGGAGGUAGACCUAGGUUAAGGGAGAUAACUCUUUAAAUCAGUCAAGCGUUUGUAUAAGUCAAGUUCACCAAUGUAUUUUAAGCAUUUACCUGAAACAGAUUGAAAAUAAUCUAUGUAACCUAGAAGCUUAGAAUAUGUUUUUGAAAAUGGUUGACACAAACGUACUGAUGAUUUUAAGAGUUAUUUCCCUUAACCUAGGUCUACCACCUUAAGUUAGUUCUGAUACGUUUAAAAAGUAAACCAUUAUUAUAUGAUAAUAAAAAAAAAGCUGCUUCAUAUGAAUUUUAAUAAUCAUCUUUAUUGAUUAUUAAAAAUUAAUAUUUGUGUUUGUUAUAAAACAAGUUAUAUUUCUUAUUCUAAUCAUCAUGAUUUUUUUAAAUAUUUUAUGUGCAAUAUUUGUUUGUAUGUAUAUAGAAAAGCUUUAUAAAUGUUUUAGAUUAUAUUGGUGCAAAAAAGGUAUACACACUGAAAGGAAAAUCCUUAUUAUUUUAACAAUUUCAUGAAUAAAUUUUUCUAUAUAAUGAACAGUUUAAUUUAAAAAACUGAUACAAUAAAAGACAACUCCUCUUAUAUAUUUGUGUUCCAUUUUCACUUAUUAAUAUUUUUCAUUUCAUCUUUUAGAACUUCUGUUAAAUUCAUACAAAUACAAUUAUUUUUGUAAAAAAUGAAAUGAGGUUUAUUGGUCUUAAGAAUAUUUUAUUUAGCAACAAGACAUCUAUUAUCCAUAUGAAACCAAAAUUAUCUUUAAUCUUUAAAAAUAUGUUUUAGAUUAUUUGAUAACGUGUAAGGUAAGCAUUUUUAAAUGCUAGCACCAGAAUCUUGCAAUAUUCUAUACUUUAUGUUUGGCUUCAUACAAAUACAUAAUAUCAUUUUAUGAUAUAUGAUAAUUAUUAGGAAUACUUAUUGCUCAGCUGCAAAAUCAUGACUAAUUUUUAAGAAGACUUUUUGAAUUACAAAGACUUUUAUAUAUACAUUUAGCAGUAUUUUAUAUCAUUGCACAUGCCAUUUUUGCAUAAUUUCGAAAUGUGUGGUAAAUGUCUUUGAAAAGGGACUUUAAAUCUUAAUAUUUGAUAUUUUAAGUCUAUUUAUUUCUUGUGAAAUCCUAAUAGUAAAGAAAAGAUAUUUCCAGAGCAUAAGUAAAUUUUCAGUUAUAUUUGUAAACAUGAUCAGAAGAAUAUUGUCUAUACUUCAUGAAGCAGAUGUAUAAAACUUUCUUAUGACAGAUAUUGCAAGGGGUUCCAAUUUCAUGUCAAACCAUGAAAUUUGAAAAAGUCUGCAAUUUGAAAGUUAAAAUGAGUAUAAUUUUAUGAUUUAUUGAAAAUUACUGAUGAUUUUAUAAAAGAAACUUUGUAUUAAAUAUUUUGUGCAAAUUUUUUAAAUUUCAGUUUUCUAUGAAAUUAUCAUUUUAAAAAUGAUAAUUUUGGAUUUAUAGAUGAAAUUACUUUUUUUACACAAUACAGGUUGUACAUUAAACACAUUAAUCUAACAUUGUAAGUCAUUUAAUUGUAUUGUCCAUUCAUAUUUUGUUAAUAGUUUUUUGAUAGACUGUGUAGUCAUUAGUUUUACAGAGAAACAAGAUAAAUAAUUUUAUAUUAUGUUGUCAUAAUCG